This 301-nucleotide ribosomal RNA is filed under the name uncultured bacterium. RNAcentral describes it as "partial 16S ribosomal RNA". It matches the Rfam family "Bacterial small subunit ribosomal RNA", at positions 509 to 809 of the family's 1533-position model. The record is from RNAcentral.
CAGUAGCCGCGGUAAUACGUAGGGUGCGAGCGCUAAUCGGAAUUACUGGGCGUAAAGCGUGCGCAGGCGGUUGUGUAAGACAGGUGUGAAAUCCCCGGGCUUAACCUGGGAACUGCGCUUGUGACUGCACAGCUAGAGUAUGGCAGAGGGGGGUGGAAUUCCACGUGUAGCAGUGAAAUGCGUAGAGAUGUGGAGGAACACCGAUGGCGAAGGCAGCCCCCUGGGCCAAUACUGACGCUCAUGCACGAAAGCGUGGGGAGCAAACAGGAUUAGAGACCCCUGUAGUCCCUGUCUCUUAUAA